UGGGGAAUAUUGCACAAUGGGCGCAAGCCUGAUGCAGCCAUGCCGCGUGUAUGAAGAAGGCCUUCGGGUUGUAAAGUACUUUCAGUCGGGAGGAAGGUGUCAAGGUUAAUAACCUUGGCAAUUGACGUUACCGACAGAAGAAGCACCGGCUAACUCCGUGCCAGCAGCCGCGGUAAUACGGAGGGUGCAAGCGUUAAUCGGAAUUACUGGGCGUAAAGCGCACGCAGGCGGUUGAUUGAGUCAGAGGUGAAAUCCCCGGGCUUAACCCGGAAAGUGCAUCUGAUACUGGUCAGCUAGAGUCUUGUAGAGGGGGGUAGAAUUCCAUGUGUAGCGGUGAAAUGCGUAGAGAUGGGGAGGAAUACCGGUGGCGAAGGCGGCCCCCUGGACGAAGACUGACGCUCAGGUGCGAAAGCGUGGGGAGCAAACAGG
Molecule: ribosomal RNA, 429 nt
Filed under: Chloroflexota bacterium
Lineage: Bacteria; Bacillati; Chloroflexota
Description: Chloroflexi bacterium partial 16S ribosomal RNA
Rfam family: Bacterial small subunit ribosomal RNA
Source: RNAcentral